GUGGAAGGCGGUGUCCAAGUCCCUUGGAACAGGGCGCCCAGGAGGGUGAGAGCCCCGUGGGAUGCCGGCGGAAGCAGUGAGGCCCUUCUGACGAGUCGAGUUGUUUGGGAAUGCAGCUCCAAGCGGGUGGUAAAUUCCAUCUAAGGCUAAAUACUGGCGAGAGACCGAUAGCGAACAAGUACUGUGAAGGAAAGAUGAAAAGCACUUUGAAAAGAGAGUGAAACAGCACGUGAAAUUGUUGAAAGGGAAGGGUAUUGCGCCCGACAUGGGGAUUGCGCACCGCUGCCUCUCGUGGGCGGCGCUCUGGGCUUUCCCUGGGCCAGCAUCGGUUCUUGCUGCAGGAGAAGGGGUUCUGGAACGUGGCUCUUCGGAGUGUUAUAGCCAGGG
Molecule: ribosomal RNA, 387 nt
Filed under: Pichia kudriavzevii
Lineage: Eukaryota; Fungi; Ascomycota; Pichiomycetes; Pichiales; Pichiaceae
Description: eukaryotic LSU rRNA
Rfam family: Eukaryotic large subunit ribosomal RNA
Source: RNAcentral